This 253-nucleotide ribosomal RNA is filed under the name uncultured bacterium. Its description in RNAcentral is "partial 16S ribosomal RNA". It matches the Rfam family "Bacterial small subunit ribosomal RNA", at positions 524 to 776 of the family's 1533-position model. The record is from RNAcentral.
UACGGAGGGUGCAAGCGUUAUCCGGAUUCACUGGGUUUAAAGGGUGCGUAGGUGGGUUGGUAAGUCAGUGGUGAAAUCUCCAGGCUUAACUUGGAAACUGCCAUUGAUACUAUCAAUCUUGAAUACCGUGGAGGUCAGCGGAAUAUGUCAUGUAGCGGUGAAAUGCUUAGAUAUGACAUAGAACACCAAUUGCGAAGGCAGCUGGCUACACGAGCAUUGACACUGAUGCACGAAAGCGUGGGGAUCAAAUAGG